UUCUUCCCCCCACCAGCCUUCCCUUCCCGAAUCUUCUUCCCCCACUUCUGACUCUCUCUCUCACUCUCUCACACACACCUCUAUCUUUUUUAAUCUAUUUUUCUUCAGAAACCAGAGGUCUCUCUCUCUGUCCUCACGAUUCUUCAACCAUGUCUCUCAAAUCUCCUCUCUACAGACGUUUCCCGUGUUUGGUCUCAAAGAAAAUGAAGAAAACUGCAACCUAGAUCAGCCAACGAAGAACACGGUUGUUCUUCAUGAGAAAGAUCGUGUAUAUGUUAACAAUCUGCACCUUGUGAUGUAAUCUGGGCUAAGGGAAAUACAAAUGAACGAUGGAAGCAGUAACAGCAGUGCACAGAGGGUGUUCUUGUCUCUGGCUUUGUUCUUGUUUGGCUUUCUUGUAUAUGGAUAUAGUGUUUUAGUGAUUUUGUAUAAAUUUUGAAAUCUUAGAAAUCUUCCUCCUCAAAUCGGAGGGGUUGAUUUUUUUUCUUUUUUAAAUCUGGGUGUAAUGUUCUCUAAUGAAGAAUUUUUGAAGUGUGAAUUGAGACAGAGAAGUCGGAAGGGAGAGGCAGAGAGCCGACGAUGAGAGAGAGGAUUUGGGUUGUGUGCGGUAUAAAAGGAAACAGAAUGUAAUUUUGGAAUACAAGUGAGGGCAAAAUUGGAAAUGAAAAUGUUAGACGAAAAUACUGUUUAUCCAACCUUUGUCAUAAACCGGCGGAUGGAUUCGGGACAAGGAGCGAAGAACCCUAGAGCUAAGAACUAAGGAACGUCGAACUGGAAGUAAGAAACAAAGGCUGAAGUGAUUAAGUGUUGAAGUUUAACUCGGAACGACGACGUAAAGAGGUGAAAGUGAAACGGUGCGUAGUGCGAUCCUGAAGACUAAGUCGGUGGCGUGCGUUGGAAGAGAAAUCGUGAAGUGUGCGUGCGUUUCAAGUGGAAUGGGGGGCAGUGUGCGUGCGUUUCGAAUUAAUCAGGGGGUGAGUGCGUUUUAUGUUUUAGUUGCUGCGUUUAAUAAAUGUUAAACGCACCGUUUAAGUUAGUAACUUCAAACGGUGCGUUGGAGUCAAGGUUGAGGUUAAAACCUGUGUCUGUCAUUUGCAAUUUCAUAGUCAGUAAGGUUAGUUUAUCAAUUGGGAGAGUUAGUUACAAGUGAGAGAAAUUGUAAGCAUAAAGGGAAAAGUGAGUGGAGAGGAAUGGUAUUGAAGAAUCUGAUUGUAAGAAUUACAUUGUAAGGAGGUUGGGAGCCCUCAAAGUACUCCCGUAGCAAUUCAAAUCUCUCAUGGUAUUUUCAUCAAACACCUUCCGUGCAGUCUGUUAUUUACUACAGCUUUCACUUUCUACAUUCCAUCUUCAUCCAUUACAAGCAUCCAUCGACGUGGGUACUUAACAAGUGGUACAGCAGCCAACCGAUCCUACGCAGCUUCAUCCAAAAACCCAGAAAAUUCAUCCAAAAACCCAGAAAA
Molecule: long non-coding RNA, 1460 nt
Organism: Juglans regia (Persian walnut)
Lineage: Eukaryota; Viridiplantae; Streptophyta; Magnoliopsida; Fagales; Juglandaceae
Exons: 2
Source: RefSeq, a predicted model, not a curated record